This 314-nucleotide ribosomal RNA is filed under the name uncultured eukaryote. RNAcentral describes it as "partial 18S ribosomal RNA". It matches the Rfam family "Eukaryotic small subunit ribosomal RNA", at positions 1470 to 1796 of the family's 1831-position model. The record is from RNAcentral.
CCCUUAGACGUUCUGGGCCGCACGCGCGCUACACUGACCAGUGCAACAAGCAUCCUCCUUGGCCGACAGGCCCGGGCAAUCUUUGAACGCUGGUCGUGAUGGGGAUAGACUUUUGCAAUUUUUGGUCUUCAACGAGGAAUUCCUAGUAAACGCAAGUCAUCAACUUGCAUUGAUUACGUCCCUGCCCUUUGUACACACCGCCCGUCGCACCUACCGAUUGAAUGGUCCGGUGAAGCCUCCGGAUUGGCGCGCACCUCGGUGCCGCCGAGAAGUUGGCUAAACCUUACCAUUUAGAGGAAGGUGAAGUCGUAACA